GUGCUCUUUCAGCAGCACAUACACUAAUAUAGGAACGAUACAGGAGAGAGUAUCAUAGCCUCUACAAGAGGUUGGCACACAAAUUCAUGAAGCAUCCCAUAUAUUU
Molecule: small nuclear RNA, 106 nt
Organism: Meriones unguiculatus (Mongolian gerbil)
Lineage: Eukaryota; Metazoa; Chordata; Mammalia; Rodentia; Muridae
Source: Ensembl